Molecule: ribosomal RNA, 510 nt
Filed under: uncultured bacterium
Lineage: Bacteria
Description: partial 16S ribosomal RNA
Rfam family: Bacterial small subunit ribosomal RNA
Source: RNAcentral
GACGAACGCUGGCGGCGUGCUUAACACAUGCAAGUCGAACGAAGAGCGAUGGACGCUUGCUUCUAUCACUCUUAGUGGCGAACGGGUGAGUAACGCGUAAUCAACCUGCCCUUCAGAGGGGGACAACAGUUGGAAACGACUGCUAAUACCGCAUACGAUCUAAUCUCGGCAUCGAGGAUAGAUGAAAGGUGGCCUCUACAUGUAAGCUAUCACUGAAGGAGGGGAUUGCGUCUGAUUAGCUAGUUGGAGGGGUAACGGCCCACCAAGGCGAUGAUCAGUAGCCGGUCUGAGAGGAUGAACGGCCACAUUGGGACUGAGACACGGCCCAGACUCCUACGGGAGGCAGCAGUGGGGAAUCUUCCGCAAUGGACGAAAGUCUGACGGAGCAACGCCGCGUGAGUGAUGACGGCCUUCGGGUUGUAAAGCUCUGUUAAUCGGGACGAAAGGCCUUCUUGCGAAUAGUGAGAAGGAUUGACGGUACCGGAAGAGAAAGCCACGGCUAACUACGUG